UCGUUCUCUCCGAAAUAACUUUAGGGUUAGCGUUCGAAUAGUUGGCGACGGGGGUAGAGCGACUGAAAUCGAACGGAGGCCUACCCGGCUAUCCGUCGAUACCAAACUCCGAAUACCGUCGUACCAAGUUCGGGCAGCUAGACUGCGAGGGAUAAGCUUCGUAGUCGAGAGGGGAACAACCCAGACCACCCGCUAAGGUCCCCAAGUCAUGCUCAGUGCGAAAGGAAGUUGGAUUCCCCAGACAGCCAGGAUGUUGGCUUAGAAGCAGCCACCAUUUAAAAAGUGCGUAAUAGCUUACUGGUCGAGGGAUCCUGCGCCGAUAAUGAACGGGACUAAGCAUGGCACCGAAGCGGUGGGUUGGCGAAAGCCAGCGGUAGGAGAGCGUAGCCAUCGGGGCGAAGCAGGACGGAUGACGGCCUGUGGACUGAUGGUUAGUGAUUAUGUCGGAACGAGUAACGAUAAAACGGGUGAGAAUCCCGUUCGCCGCAAGCCUAAGGUUUCCUGGGGAAGGUAAAUCCGCCCAGGGUUAGUCGACCCCUUAGUCAAGGCCGAAAGGCGUAGACGAUGGAGAAGACGGUUAAUAUUCCGUCACCUUUUGCGUAGAUUCUGCGGACGUGACGCUGAACGAAUGGGGUACCCCCUGCUAGUCGCGGGGAACCGCAAGGUCCAGGCCGAUUAUGUUGCCGAAGUCCUCGGAAGUUCAGCCAAGAAAAGCCGUCCGUUGCGAAACAAAAGAUCGUACCAUAAACCGACACAGGUGGGCGAGAUGAAUAUUCUAAGGCGCUCGAGAGAAUGCUGGUGAAGGAACUCUGCAACAUGACUCCGUAACUUCGGGAUAAGGAGUGCCUCCGAGGGUGUAACAGCCUUUGGGGGUCGCAGUGAAAUGGGUCUAGCGACUGUUUACUAAAAACACAGGUCUGUGCGAACACGCAAGUGGAAGUAUACAGACUGACGCCUGCCCGGUGCUGGUAAGUCAAGGGAGGGGGUUAGCCGAAAGGUGAAGCUCACAACCAAAGCUCCAGUAAACGGCGGCCGUAACUAUGACGGUCCUAAGGUAGCGAAGUUCCUUGUCGGGUAAGUUCCGACCUGCAUGAAUGGCGUAACGACUGGACCACUGUCUCCACCAGCUACUCGGUGAAACUGUAGUCGUCGUGAAGAUGCGACGUACCCGUAGUUAGACGGAAAGACCCCGUGAACCUUAACUGUAGGAUAGUAUUGGGUUUAGACCCAACAUGCGUAGCGUAGCUGGGAGACUGCGAACCGGAGGUUUCGGCCUUCGGGGAGUCAUCGAUGAAACACCAGCCUUGUUGUGUUUGAAUUCUAACCCGUGUCACAACCACGCGGACAGUGCUAUCUGGGCAGUUUGAUUGGGGCGAUCUCCUCCCAAAAGGUAACGGAGGAGCGCAAUGGUACCCUCAGCCCGGUUGGCAAUCGGGCAUCGAGCGUAAACGUAAAAGGGUGCUUGACUGCGAGACCGAUAGGUCGAGCAGGGACGAAAGUCGGCGUUAGUGAUCCGGUGGUUUCCGAAUGGAAGGGCCAUCGCUCAACAGAUAAAAGGUACUCCGGGGAUAACAGGCUUAUCUCCUCUGAGCGUUCAUAGCGGCGAGGAGGUUUGGCACCUCGAUGUCGGCUCAUCGCAUCCUGGGGCUGGAGAAGGUCCCAAGGGUUUGGCUGUUCGCCAAUGAAAGCGGUACGUGAGCUGGGUUUAGACCGUCGUGAGACAGGUCGGUCCCUAUCUGCUACGGGCGCAAGAAACUUGAGAGGCUUCCUCCCUAGUACGAGAGGAUUGGGAGGGACGCACCGCUGGUGUUCCAGUUGUCACGCUAGUGGCAUCGCUGGGUAGCUACGUGCGGAAUGGAUAAACGCUGAAGGCAUAUAAGCGUGAAACUUCCCUCAAGAUAAGGUUUCUUUUCUAUGAUGAAGUCUGCCGAUCGAACAUCGGUUACAUAGGUCAGGUGUGUAAGGCCGGCAACGGUCUCAGCUAACUGAUCCUAACAGACGAUCGCUUGUCCA
RNAcentral lists this ribosomal RNA (2013 nucleotides) under Zavarzinella formosa DSM 19928. RNAcentral describes it as "bacterial LSU rRNA". It matches the Rfam family "Bacterial large subunit ribosomal RNA", at positions 850 to 2925 of the family's 2925-position model. The record is from RNAcentral. Lineage: Bacteria; Pseudomonadati; Planctomycetota; Planctomycetia; Gemmatales; Gemmataceae.